UCCCGACCGGCGGCGCUGGGGCCGCUCUCCGCGAGGAGGACGAAGGGAGCCCGGCCUCACGGGGGGCGCGCGGGGCCGCGCUCCGCCGCUGUCCUCGAGAGCCCGUCCCUCAGGGCCGUCGCUUACGGGACCGCGGGACGCUCGGUUUGCUCGGGAAACCGCCCGUUCUGGCCGCGAGCGGCUGAGGUCGUCUGCGGAUAAGAUCGGUAUUAGGCCGUUGUUCCUGUGUUACAGCUGUACUAUAGCACUGUGCUCUCCCUCCGAUCUCCCAGGCUGGUGUGUUACAGAAGAUGUGAUGUGACCAGCUUGCCGCGCCUGUGGCAAAGAACAGGUACCUUUACUCAAAGCGACAAGCCCUUUCAAGUUAAGGGAGCAGUGGGAAAUGAAAGUUUAAUAUUGAGAUGGCUGGAAACGAAGAUUCUUUAGCAUUGUUUUAACGUGAUCUCUGCCGUGAAGUUUCCUGAUUAAAAGCUUUGUAAUUUGUGGUCUGUGCUUUUCCAGGAUGUACCUUUAAAUAGUCAAAUGCAGCUACUGGAAUCUUUGGGAGUGGGAGAGUAAUGGUUGGUAAGAAAUACAAAUAAUUUGGCUGACUGGUGUAGCCAUCAACAAAACUGCAGUACAAUUUGCAUCUAUUGCUGAAAUCUGAUUCUAAGCAAUGAAUAAGCAGUGGUUAGUGUUGGUUUUAUGUAGGAAAUGUUGAAAUGCCAGCUUUUGAGGGAAAGAUGAAGCAGGAUGAAAAUGGAUACUGACACUUCCUAAUUUCCUGGGGGAGUAGGGUUCUGAAUUUAACUUGAUGUGAAAAAAGAUCUCCCUCGACAACUUAUACAUAAACCUAUCACUUAGCUUUUCCCAGGUAUUAUUAAAUGCCCUUUCUGAAACUAAUCUGACUAUGAGGUAAGGCAUUUCAGUUGAUAUUUCUAUAACAUUCUGAGUAAUAGCUCAGUAAGUGUGCUAGCAACUUGCCUCUUGUCCAGUUUGUCAUAAAUAAUGCACGGUUUGUAUCAAAGCCAGUGUUUUAAAUCUACAACAGACAUAGAAGUCACAAACAAAUGUUCAUGUGGGAAAACAAAAAUGCAAGAUGAAUUCUGUUAGUAUGAACUAUUUGAGUCUUGAGUAUAUUAACCCUUGUUUGUGAAUAACUGUUGACUCCGAAAGCAAGAAGCUAUCAAAUGAAGAUGUGAUGGAAGGUACGCUGAACAAUCGUAACUAAAAGGAGUACAACAUUCUACUAUUUCUAGAAGCAUGUCUGAAGAGAUCUUAUUUCAAUAUUACUCAAGUGUCUGUUGCAGAAUUAUUUCUUGUGUUUCUGUUUUGUUACGUUUUUCUGAAAUUAUUGGCUAAAACACUGCCACUUCCUUGGCUAUAUUUCUCAAUUAAUAAAUGCACUCAAUGAA
Numida meleagris (helmeted guineafowl) is the source of this 1394-nucleotide long non-coding RNA. RefSeq lists it as uncharacterized. The record is from RefSeq and is a predicted model, not a curated record. The transcript is spliced from 2 exons. Lineage: Eukaryota; Metazoa; Chordata; Aves; Galliformes; Numididae.